This 951-nucleotide ribosomal RNA is filed under the name Escherichia coli. RNAcentral's name for it is "partial 23S ribosomal RNA". It matches the Rfam family "Bacterial large subunit ribosomal RNA", at positions 203 to 1194 of the family's 2925-position model. Lineage: Bacteria; Pseudomonadati; Pseudomonadota; Gammaproteobacteria; Enterobacterales; Enterobacteriaceae. The record is from RNAcentral.
UAAGUACCCCGAGGAAAAGAAAUCAACCGAGAUUCCCCCAGUAGCGGCGAGCGAACGGGGAGCAGCCCAGAGCCUGAAUCAGUGUGUGUGUUAGUGGAAGCGUCUGGAAAGGCGCGCGAUACAGGGUGACAGCCCCGUACACAAAAAUGCACAUACUGUGAGCUCGAUGAGUAGGGCGGGACACGUGGUAUCCUGUCUGAAUAUGGGGGGACCAUCCUCCAAGGCUAAAUACUCCUGACUGACCGAUAGUGAACCAGUACCGUGAGGGAAAGGCGAAAAGAACCCCGGCGAGGGGAGUGAAAAAGAACCUGAAACCGUGUACGUACAAGCAGUGGGAGCACGCUUAGGCGUGUGACUGCGUACCUUUUGUAUAAUGGGUCAGCGACUUAUAUUCUGUAGCAAGGUUAACCGAAUAGGGGAGCCGAAGGGAAACCGAGUCUUAACUGGGCGUUAAGUUGCAGGGUAUAGACCCGAAACCCGGUGAUCUAGCCAUGGGCAGGUUGAAGGUUGGGUAACACUAACUGGAGGACCGAACCGACUAAUGUUGAAAAAUUAGCGGAUGACUUGUGGCUGGGGGUGAAAGGCCAAUCAAACCGGGAGAUAGCUGGUUCUCCCCGAAAGCUAUUUAGGUAGCGCCUCGUGAAUUCAUCUCCGGGGGUAGAGCACUGUUUCGGCAAGGGGGUCAUCCCGACUUACCAACCCGAUGCAAACUGCGAAUACCGGAGAAUGUUAUCACGGGAGACACACGGCGGGUGCUAACGUCCGUCGUGAAGAGGGAAACAACCCAGACCGCCAGCUAAGGUCCCAAAGUCAUGGUUAAGUGGGAAACGAUGUGGGAAGGCCCAGACAGCCAGGAUGUUGGCUUAGAAGCAGCCAUCAUUUAAAGAAAGCGUAAUAGCUCACUGGUCGAGUCGGCCUGCGCGGAAGAUGUAACGGGGCUAAACCAUGCAC